Molecule: ribosomal RNA, 407 nt
Filed under: uncultured bacterium
Lineage: Bacteria
Description: partial 16S ribosomal RNA
Rfam family: Bacterial small subunit ribosomal RNA
Source: RNAcentral
AUUGAACGCUGGCGGCAGGCCUAACACAUGCAAGUCGAGCGGAGCGGCGGACGGGUGAGUAAUUCCUAGGAAUCUGCCUGGUAGUGGGGGAUAACGUCCGUAAACGGGCGCUAAUACCGCAUACUAUCAGAUGAGCCUAGGUCGGAUUAGCUAUUUGGUGGGGUAAAGGCCUACCAAGGCGACGAUCCGUAACUGGUCUGAGAGGAUGAUCAGUCACACUGGAACUGAGACACGGUCCAGAGUCCUACGGGAGGCAGCAGUGGGGAAUUUUGGACAAUGGGGGAAACCCUGAUGCAGCCAUCCCGCGUGUGCGAUGAAGGCCUUCGGGUUGUAAAGCACUUUUGGCAGGAAAGCGGUACCUGCAGAAUAAGCACCGGCUAACUACGUGCCAGCCGCCGCGGUAAUUC